UGAUUUUUGUGACAUUAUUUACUUUGAUCAAUCUCUUUCUUAGUCAAAACUCUUCCUUAUGUGAGAGUCCAUUCAAAUGCAGUGAUGCAGAGGCCAGUACUGUAGUUGAAGCUGCUGCAGAAUAUGGGGAACCCCUCCCAGUACCAUCUGAAGGUAAAAUUGUAUUUAAUGUUUUUCAAUACUUUUACAAGUUACAUGACUUUGUUAACUUCGUUUCUAUUUUGCAGUGGACAAAUGGGUCUUCUUCACAAAGUAAAAGAUCAUUAACUCUUUGCAGUGUGAUCUCAGAAGAAGGUAGAAAAGGCCAGAAGAAUGCCAGAAGAACCAAUAUACAUUGGGUAUUAGGACAAGAAGAGUUCGUCUUCGCAAGAUGACCAAGAAAUCAAACUCUGUAGCAAGAAUGUGAAGUUCCAUGCCUGAUGUAAAAAAGAAAUAAUACUCUACUUUUUUCCCUGGAAUGUGUACCAUCUGAAUCAAGUACUAGUAUACAGGAAAUAAACUCGGAUCAAUCUUUUUUGUUUUCCAUGAUAAUAUAUUUACACAAUUAAAAGUGUUU
RNAcentral lists this long non-coding RNA (556 nucleotides) under Sinocyclocheilus anshuiensis. RNAcentral's name for it is "lncRNA (ENSSANG00000000101.1)". Lineage: Eukaryota; Metazoa; Chordata; Actinopteri; Cypriniformes; Cyprinidae. The record is from RNAcentral.